This 68-nucleotide small RNA is filed under the name Salix viminalis (osier). The record is from RNAcentral. Lineage: Eukaryota; Viridiplantae; Streptophyta; Magnoliopsida; Malpighiales; Salicaceae.
AGAUAAUGCGGGGGAAAACACCUAGGAGAUUUAACUAUUUUAUUUUUUUGUAAUUAGCAUGUAUAACU